GACGUAGGGUGCAAGCGUUGUCCGGAUUUACUGGGCGUAAAGAGCGCGUAGGCGGCUCGUUAAGUGAGAAGUGAAAGCUCUGGGCUCAACCCAGAAACCGCUUUUCAUACUGGCGAGCUGGAGUGAUGCAGAGGUGGAUAGAAUUCCCGGUGUAGCGGUGAAAUGCGUUGAUAUCGGGAGGAAUACCCAUGGCGAAGGCAGUCCACUGGGCAUCAACUGACGCUGAGGCGCGAAAGCGUGGGUAGCAAACAGG
Molecule: ribosomal RNA, 253 nt
Filed under: uncultured bacterium
Lineage: Bacteria
Also listed under: 1 other name
Description: partial 16S ribosomal RNA
Rfam family: Bacterial small subunit ribosomal RNA
Source: RNAcentral